This 495-nucleotide ribosomal RNA is filed under the name uncultured bacterium. Its description in RNAcentral is "bacterial SSU rRNA". It matches the Rfam family "Bacterial small subunit ribosomal RNA", at positions 36 to 524 of the family's 1533-position model. The record is from RNAcentral.
AUACCUGGCGGCAGCCUGGAGAUGCNAGUCGAGCGGUAGAGAGAAGCUUGCUUCUCUUGAGAGCGGCGGACGGGUGAGUAAUGCCUAGGAAUCUGCCUGGUAGUGGGGGAUAACGCUCGGAAACGGACGCUAAUACCGCAUACGUCCUACGGGAGAAAGCAGGGGACCUUCGGGCCUUGCGCUAUCAGAUGAGCCUAGGUCGGAUUAGCUAGUUGGUGAGGUAAUGGCUCACCAAGGCGACGAUCCGUAACUGGUCUGAGGGGAUGAUCAGUCACACUGGAACUGAGACACGGUCCAGACUCCUACGGGAGGCAGCAGUGGGGAAUAUUGGACAAUGGGCGAAAGCCUGAUCCAGCCAUGCCGCGUGUGUGAAGAAGGUCUUCGGAUUGUAAAGCACUUUAAGUUGGGAGGAAGGGCAGUUACCUAAUACGUAUCUGUUUUGACGUUACCGACAGAAUAAGCACCGGCUAACUCUGUGCCAGCAGCCGCGGUAAU